RNAcentral lists this long non-coding RNA (256 nucleotides) under Brassica napus (rape). RNAcentral describes it as "long non-coding RNA (BNAP_LNC007466)". The record is from RNAcentral. Lineage: Eukaryota; Viridiplantae; Streptophyta; Magnoliopsida; Brassicales; Brassicaceae.
UGAUAAUUGGGUUUUAGGGUUUAUAUUUGGGUUUAGGGUUUAGUAAGUAAUGUUUAGGGUUUAUAUUUUGGUUUAGGGUUUAGUAAUUAAUGUUUAGGGUUUAGUAUUUAGAGGAAAGCGUGAGGUUUAGGGUUUAGUAUUUAGGAAUGAGAGUUUGGAGUAAAGUUUAGUAUUUACGAGUUGUGAGUGGGUUUGGAGUCAUAUACUAAUUUAAUGAUAUGGUAUAGAAAAUUCAGAAUGGAUUAAUGUUUAGUAU